This 270-nucleotide ribosomal RNA is filed under the name Triticum aestivum (bread wheat). RNAcentral's name for it is "partial small subunit ribosomal RNA". Lineage: Eukaryota; Viridiplantae; Streptophyta; Magnoliopsida; Poales; Poaceae. The record is from RNAcentral.
AUGGCCGCCGGGUCCUGCUUCCGUGCGGUGCGGAGGGUUGAGGUGGAGGCCGGGUUCUGCUUCCUUACGGUUAUCCAUGUUCAGGUGAUAGUUAAGAAGAACAUAGUAUGUGAUGGUCCAAUGAGGAAGAAAUAUAAGUCGACAAUGCUGCUGAUGGGUGGCACUGAUAGUCCCAACACCUUUGCUCUUGGAUCAUUAUUCAAGCUUAUUUUUUCCUACAACAAGAAAGAGGAUGCUGAAGGAGGUAUUGCAACUAGAAAGACAAUAUAA